RNAcentral lists this ribosomal RNA (447 nucleotides) under uncultured bacterium. RNAcentral describes it as "bacterial SSU rRNA". It matches the Rfam family "Bacterial small subunit ribosomal RNA", at positions 331 to 792 of the family's 1533-position model. The record is from RNAcentral.
CCAGACUCCUACGGGAGGCAGCAGUGGGGGAUAUUGCACAAUGGGGGAAACCCUGAUGCAGCGACGCCGCGUGAGUGAAGACGGCCUUCGGGUUGUAAAGCUCUGUCAAUCGGGACGAAGAAGAUGACGGUACCGAUGAAGGAAGCUCCGGCUAACUACGUGCCAGCAGCCGCGGUAAUACGUAGGGAGCAAGCGUUGUCCGGAAUUACUGGGUGUAAAGGGAGCGUAGACGGCGACGCAAGUCUGGAGUGAAAGCCCGGGGCCCAACCCCGGGACUGCUCUGGAAACUGCGUCGCUGGAGUACGGGAGGGGCAGGCGGAAUUCCUGGUGUAGCGGUGAAAUGCGUAGAUAUCAGGAGGAACACCGGCGGCGAAGGCGGCCUGCUGGACCGUGACUGACGUUGAGGCUCGAGAGCGUGGGGAGCAAACAGGAUUAGAUACCCCAGUA